This is a non-coding RNA of Schizosaccharomyces pombe (fission yeast), 310 nucleotides long. The record is from the annotation of a GenBank genome assembly. NCBI's taxonomy places the organism in Eukaryota, Fungi, Ascomycota, Schizosaccharomycetes, Schizosaccharomycetales, Schizosaccharomycetaceae.
UAGGUUGGAAAAGGCAUACGAUAAGAUAUGAAAAGGCAACAGGACACAAGACAACCAAACGCAUAAUCCCGCAAGGCAAAACUAGGCAAGCAAGUCAAGCCAAGUCGCAAGAUCUAUGUUGUUGUGUUGGAAUAGUAAUGGCGAGAUUGAUGGUGAAUUUCAAUAGAAUGUCACAUUAGCGAUAAUGUGAGUUGAUUUAGCUGAAUGAGUAAUUUCGUUGAAUGAAUAUUUUAGCAGAAAUGGAAAUUUGAGAUGCAGAUGUGGAUGGAUAUGUAAGCGUGAAUGAAAACUCUAGUAUUUUAUUUUUAUC